GCCAGGCUUGGCGGUGCACGCCUGUAAUCCCAGCUACUCGGGAGGCUGAGUCAGGAGAAUCACUUGAACCCGGGAGGUGGAUGUUGCAGUGAGCUGAAAUCAUGCCACUGCAGUCUGGCCUGGGUGACAUAGUGAGACUCUGUCUCAA
RNAcentral lists this non-coding RNA (148 nucleotides) under Pan troglodytes (chimpanzee). Lineage: Eukaryota; Metazoa; Chordata; Mammalia; Primates; Hominidae. The record is from Rfam by way of RNAcentral.